UAGGGAAUAUUGGACAAUGGGUGAGAGCCUGAUCCAGCCAUGCCGCGUGCAGGAAGAAGGCGUUAUGCGUUGUAAACUGCUUUAGCCAGGGGAUAAAACGGCUCUGCGGAGCUAAUUGAAGGUACCUGGAUAAUAAGCCACGGCUAACUACGUGCCAGCAGCCGCGGUAAUACGUAGGUGGCAAGCGUUGUCCGGAUUUAUUGGGUUUAAAGGGUGCGUAGGCGGCCCUGUAAGUCAGUGCUGAAAUAUC
RNAcentral lists this ribosomal RNA (250 nucleotides) under uncultured bacterium. RNAcentral describes it as "partial 16S ribosomal RNA". It matches the Rfam family "Bacterial small subunit ribosomal RNA", at positions 355 to 603 of the family's 1533-position model. The record is from RNAcentral.